AUUGAACGCUGGCGGCAUGCCUUACACAUGCAAGUCGAACGGCAGCACGGGAGCAAUCCUGGUGGCGAGUGGCGAACGGGUGAGUAAUAUAUCGGAACGUGCCCGGUCGUGGGGAUAACGUAGCGAAAGCUACGCUAAUACCGCAUACGAUCUACGGAUGAAAGCGGGGGAUCGCAAGACCUCGCGCGAUUGGAGCGGCCGAUAUCAGAUUAGGUAGUUGGUGAGGUAAAGGCUCACCAAGCCGACGAUCUGUAGCUGGUCUGAGAGGACGACCAGCCACACUGGGACUGAGACACGGCCCAGACUCCUACGGGAGGCAGCAGUGGGGAAUUUUGGACAAUGAGCGCAAGCCUGAUCCAGCAAUGCCGCGUGCAGGAUGAAGGCCUCGGUUGUAAC
Molecule: ribosomal RNA, 396 nt
Filed under: uncultured bacterium
Lineage: Bacteria
Description: bacterial SSU rRNA
Rfam family: Bacterial small subunit ribosomal RNA
Source: RNAcentral